UACGUAGGGACCAAGCGUUGUUCGGAUUUACUGGGCGUAAAGUGUGCGCAGGUGGCCGCGCAAGUCGAGUGUGAAAUCCCCGAGCUUAACUUGGGAAUUGCGCUCGAAACUACGUGGCUCGAGUGUGGCAGAGGAAGGUGGAAUUCCACGUGUAGCGGUGAAAUGCGUAGAGAUGUGGAGGAACACCGAUGGCGAAGGCAGCCUUCUGGGCCAACACUGACGCUCAUGCACGAAAGCGUGGGGAGCAAACAGG
This 253-nucleotide ribosomal RNA is filed under the name uncultured bacterium. Its description in RNAcentral is "partial 16S ribosomal RNA". It matches the Rfam family "Bacterial small subunit ribosomal RNA", at positions 524 to 776 of the family's 1533-position model. The record is from RNAcentral.